RNAcentral lists this long non-coding RNA (1531 nucleotides) under Numida meleagris (helmeted guineafowl). RNAcentral's name for it is "lncRNA (ENSNMEG00000010887.1)". Lineage: Eukaryota; Metazoa; Chordata; Aves; Galliformes; Numididae. The record is from RNAcentral.
AAGAAGAGUCUGAGCCCCAGUGCUGCACCCUGCUCUUCCCAGGGAAACAUAUUUAGUGCUAGCAACUGGUUGUAAUUUCUCACUGGACUAAGUAGGAGUGUGAGGGUGGCACAUGCCACAGUAUUGCACAUGCUGAGAAACUGACAAGGACCAGGAUGCCCUCUGAAUUUUCAUACCCAGGAGCUGUAUGUCGGACCACUUCAUGCUCUUUUCUCACAGACACAGCUGCUGGGUUUAUUCAAGCAACUAUGCGGAAAACCUUUUCAAUGUGUAAUGUCAGCUUGUCUGGAAUCUCUAGUGGUCCCUGGCUUCAAGCCCCCUCUUCAAAGACUUUGUCAUGCGCAAAAUGGCUGUGGAAUCCUGAGGAUAGAAGGGAAUCCAAGAUUUGGAUGUGACUGGCUGUAAGGGGAAGAAAUGAUGCCAGCAGAUCAGCCUGAAGAGGCAGCAUGGACUGGUGUUCCUGUAUUACUUUGGAAUUUUAAAAUUAUUUUAUGUAACAAAAUCAGAUGCCAGGAACAUUAGUAUUGCCUGAAGGUCUCAGCAGCUUCUGUACUAACUGGUUGAGGUUUAUCCUGUUUAUGUCUGUUUGGAUAAAGCACAAUGCCAUCGUUAAGAGUCAAGAAUGUAAGCCAAACCUCUGGAGGAGGUUUUGAGCCAAAAUUCCUGGGGGAUGAGGAGGGGAGAGGCAGCAUGAAGAUGCUGAACUGUGCAAAGUGACCUCACUUCCUGUGGCAAAACUCUGCCCCUAAUGGGAAUGUCUGCCAGAGCUGGAGGAAUCAAGGUUUUCCUCCCAGUCAAACAGCAGGACUUAUCAUCGGCCUUGCUGCUGGCAGUAGGGGAGACAGGUUUAUCUAUAGUAGGGCAAGCAGCAGAGACAGGCAGAUGCCAAGGUCUUGAUGCCAAGGAAUAUCUAAGGGUGAAUGUGGUAGCACUUUAAAAAGAAAAGCAAUCAGGAAUUACGAAAUGAACUGUGUAACAGUAAAUCUGACAUCCAUAUCAGGCCUACUAUUGCUGAAAAAUAACAUUCUAGUAUAGAUGUUAAGUUUUCAAGCUGUGUUUUCAGGUAUAUUGGGGGACAGAUAACAUAUCUAUUGUAAAAGAAGCCUUGUGAUGCAAAUCUAUUAGAUUGAAGGAGUAUGUUAAUAAGAUUCUGGUGAUAUAGAUAUGCAAAAACUACAGAAAUAUUUAAGACUUAAAAGUUUUUGACUAAAAUUCUUCAUUAAAUGCUCUUUUAGAAACAAUGUUGGUCAUGGACUGAAAGAGAUGGUCCUUUUCUGGCUUAGUAACUGAUUUAUGGAUAGGAAGAAAAGGGUUAGAACAAAUCUGAAGGGAAGGCAUUAGUGACAGUGGGGAUUAUGCUGCUCUGCAUGUCUGUGGGUGUUCUGGAAAAGAGAUGAAAAGUGAGGUGACAAAACUUGGUGAUGAGAGAAAAGUAUUUGCCAUAGUCAAACAAGAAUCCAGCUGAGAAAUAGGAAUCUUAAAUCAGUGAGUGACUGGGAAAUAAAGUGACAGUGGAAAGUCUGUGUUGACA